GGACACGUACCGCCCUCCCCUAAGUGGAUGAGCAUGUCCAAGGUAGGAGAAAAGCACCAUGGUUAAUAUAAACAUGCGAAGCCACUUACUGCAUUGAUAACACUCCAGCAUUCUGCAAGGGUUUCACUUCAGUUUCAGAAAACUAUCUCAAAGCAAUCGAUGCCACAGCUUUGCUAUACCUUGAGUCUACUACAAAAUCCAUGACUUUGAGUGAUUUUUUUUUUUCAAUCAGUUGUUCCUCAUGAACUGCAUAGCAGUCAUCUGUGUGUUUGAGUAGUACUUUGCCAUACAGAAAUUGAGGUUAUUGUUUAAGCUUACUUACCGUGCUAUCACCAGACAGAUCAGCACUUGUCUGUUAAAUACCACACCUGCUGUAAGCACAUCCCAGAAUAGGUUAUGCCUGUUUCUGCAAUGCCAGUAUAUUUAUUGUGUUAUUUUUAGAUUGGGAUCCUCUUUAACUGAAGCCUUUAUACAUAUCACUAUUUCCUAAACGUUUAUUUCUGAUUUCAUACUGGAUUGUUCUUCCUAAACGUAAACAUUUCUGCCCUUGUCCUUGCAGAUUUUCAUCUUGUUGAAUCAUUGCUUUGGUUCGUCAGGCUCAUUUUGAAUUCUCUUCUUGUCUUCAGAGUGUUUGAAAAUCUUCCCAGGGUGUUUCACCUGCAUGUUUUAACACUGCAUGCUCUAAUCUGCUUAGCAAAUUAUUAAUGCAGCUGUUGAACAGUCCUGUGCUGAGAGGAGAUCCCUGAUUCCGCAAAGGAAUUGUCCCUGUGUUUGUCAAGGAGAUACUUUGAAUGCAAACACUGAAAGAGGUAAGCUUGCCAAUCGAAACAUCACUGCACCUCCGGGGAGUGCGGUGUUUGGGAUGGUGCUACAGAUGUCUCAGUGAUGCUUCAUUAACUACUUCAAUGAGUUUCUUAAGGAUUACAGGCGCUGGCUACUUGGGUAAUGUGAAUUUCCUCCAUCCUGCUAUUCCCCUAUUAUGACCUAUGUUCUCCAAAUCCCUUUUAAAACGAAUGCUGGGUCUCAAUUAAGCAAGAGGUGGGGGUGACAUGACAUGCUCAGUCUUUGCAAUCUGCUGUCUGCUGAGCACAAAAACUUUUGCUAAUGUUAGUCACCGAGUCUGUGUAAACAACAAAAAAGACGGUUUGUCAAAACAAAGAUGUGUUGUGAUUUGAGCUUGGAAAGUUAAUGGCAGACUGUGGUCAUGGGUGCAGUGGUUGCAUUUUGGGGUACAUCAAAUGUUGGCUUAGGGGCUCGGGUGGCUUUCAGGAAAGGUCUGUGGGCUAGCCGAGGAAGGACACAAUCCUGCAGCAGCUCUCCUGUUACCCCCUGAAGGUUUACAGAUAGCUUUGACACAGUAGGAUGCUUUUGUAGUGGCCUGCAUCUUGCUCUCAAAGGGUUGUGGCAUUUCCUCAGUAUCACAUUCAGCGUGUAAAACUAAACACACUGGUCUGGUGUAAACUUGUUCUGAUCAUUCAAACGUUAACCCAAGAAUUUUUGGGGUUUUUCUUUGUUCCUGCAAGCUUCGUAUUGGACCAGGGGUUGGUCACCCUGUCCUUCUGCAGCUGGCAUAAAUUCACCAUGAAAACACGAAGCUAACCUAAACCUGAUUGCAUGUAUUAGAUGAUGUGUAUAAAUACGAUGGCAUGUGAUGCCUGUUCAGGAUUACAGCUCUGAUGGGCUGCGAUCUGAUGCCGGGUGGGUCCGCCUGAUUGCCUGAUGCAGCGGCAGACCAUGCCAUGGCGAGGAGGAGGUGUGGGGGUUUGUGGCUCGGGUGCGUGUCACUGAGGCACAGCCCCGGCCAUGACGCCAGGCUCGUCCCCGCUGAGGGCUGAGCGAUGGGGUGCAGAUGUGUGUAAACAUAAGGCGGCUCUGGGGCUGGCUGAAUACUGCAGCUGAGCAGCAAUUAACAGUUUAUUAAUUAUGUUUGGCUGGGAGAGACACGCGUGAGGACCCGUGAGGGGUGUGAGCACCACCAAGACA
This 1983-nucleotide long non-coding RNA is filed under the name Anas platyrhynchos platyrhynchos (common mallard). Its description in RNAcentral is "lncRNA (ENSAPLG00000022435.1)". The record is from RNAcentral. Lineage: Eukaryota; Metazoa; Chordata; Aves; Anseriformes; Anatidae.